CGUGUGGGCCGCGUCGCGGAGACUUCUGGGAGCUCUUGCUCGCCAUCGGAGUGCGCAGGCGCAGCGCGCCGAGUGGACAUUUUGGUCUUUGUCCGCGGGUCAGUCCGGCCCCUGGGUCCACGUGGCGCGAAAGUAGGAGGGCCGCUUCCUUGUGCAUCCCUGGAGACUGCACCUUUUUCAUCAUUCAGAAGGCCUGGAGGCCCCAGGGCUCAGCCUGAGUUCUAGGAUGGUACUUUGGCCCCCAGCAUUAAUAUUCUAGUGCUGUGUCAUUUCCCCAAUAGCAGGUUAUAAACCAACCACACUGUAUGUGAUCCUCUGUUGGAACAAGAAGACAAACUCUGGAUGGUGGAGAACAAAGUGGAAAGGAAAUUUGUUCAGGUCGUUUCCAGGCUUUUGAACACACAAGUGUUCCUGAGGAAGGAAGAGGAAGACAGUCUUAAGAAGCCUGAGAAGAUGAUGAGCAGAUAGAGAGGCAACAAGAUUUGGGAGGCAAGUUGCAUCCAUCUCCAGUAAAGUACAGACUGAGGAAAAAAAGCAGUGAACUAAGAAAAUUGGAAGGAUACUUCUUCUGAUCUCAGACCUUAUAUCUUUAAGGAAACACCUUUUUCAACUUACCUGGAAAGAGUGUGAAACAAAAUUUAGACUUAAUUGUGAGGGAAGUUGUGUAGGGGAGAAGCAUUAAUUUAACUAGGAAAUCUGCCUCUGCUUGCUCCUUAUGCUAAUAACCCCCUUUAAAUGUAAAUCAGUGUGGAAAUGUCUUCAGUUAAAACCAUUUGAACUCCAUAGAAAAACCCUAUGAAAUUACUGAAUGUGGCAAAACUUUCACUCACAUGUCACACCUCGUUAAAUGUAGAAGUCAGGCUUAAGAGAAACUCUGUUCUAAGGAAUACUGAAGAGCCUUUAGCUAGAUGACAGAUCUCUGAGCAGAAGAAAUUUUUUACUGGAGAGAAACCAGUGAAUAUAACAAAACUUCGUUGAUCAUUAGAAAAUUUGGACAGAAAGCUUUUAAAUGUACUGAGUAUGAUAUAGUCUUCUCUCGAACUUUAUCCCUUCCUCUAUAUUUGAAAGGUCAUACACAGAGAAUCCUUACAAAUGUAAGAAAUAUGGAAAUUCCUUCAGCCAAAAGUAAAUCCUAAUUCAUCAAAAAAUUCAUACUGGAGAGAAACCUUGUGAAUGUGGGAAAGCUUCCAUUCAGAUGUCACACCUCAGUCAGCAGAAAAUUUGUAGUGGGGAAAACCCCUUUGCCUGUAAGGUAUGUGGGAAAGUCUUCAGCCACAAAUCAAAUCUUACUGAGCAUGAACAUUUUCAUAAUAGAGAGAAACCUUUUGAAUGUAACGAAUGUGGAAAAGCCUUUAGCCAGAAGCAAUAUGUUAUUAAACAUCAGAACACCCAUACUGGAGAGAAGCUUUUUGAAUGUAAUGAGUGUGGAAAAUCCUUCAGCCAGAAGGAAAACCUUCUCACCCAUCAGAAAAUUCACACUGGAGAGAAACCUUUUGAGUGUAAGGAUUGUGGGAAAGCUUUCAUUCAGAAGUCAAACCUCAUCAGACACCAGAGAACUCACACAGGAGAGAAGCCUUUUGUAUGUAAGGAAUGUGGAAAAACCUUCAGUGGCAAAUCUAACCUUACCGAGCAUGAGAAGAUUCAUAUUGGGGAGAAACCCUUUAAAUGUAGUGAAUGUGGAACAGCUUUUGGCCAGAAGAAGUACCUCAUAAAACAUCAAAACAUUCACACUGGAGAGAAACCCUAUGAAUGUAAUGAAUGUGGAAAAGCCUUCUCUCAACGAACAUCACUUAUCGUACAUGUGAGAAUUCAUUCAGGUGAUAAACCUUACGAAUGCAAUGUAUGUGGAAAAGCUUUCUCUCAAAGUUCAUCUCUUACUGUGCAUGUGAGAAGCCAUACAGGUGAGAAACCCUAUGGUUGUAAUGAAUGUGGGAAAGCUUUCUCUCAAUUCUCAACCCUUGCUCUGCAUUUGAGAAUACACACAGGUAAGAAGCCUUAUCAAUGUAGUGAAUGUGGGAAAGCUUUUAGCCAGAAGUCACACCAUAUUAGACACCAGAAAAUUCAUACUCAUUAAAAAACCCUGUAAAUAUCUUAAAAAUUGGAAAGUGUUCAUCAGGAGUUUAAACCUCAUAGCACAUCAGAAAUGAUCAUACUGAAAGAAGAUAUCACAAAUGAGGAAAACAAAAGCUAAAAAGUUACUGGACACCAUGGAAUUUAUACUGAAGAGAAAGACAUUUAUAUGAUAAAAAUCCUGGGCCCCCAGAAAAGCUGAUGGCCUAGGUAAUGCUGGAACUUUAGACGCAUUUCCACCAAACAUGCUUCUUAUUGCUGUCUGCAUUUAUCUGGAGAUCUUCACCAAUGUAAUCAAAAUAUAAGUUUUAAGUAUUGGCAAGGAAGAGACUUUUAUGGUAUUGAUUUAGUAGAACAGAAGAGAUUCUGGAAACACCUAUGCAUCUAUUAAAAUUUAGAAUAUGAUAGAAAUGGCAAUAGGAGGUGAGAAGAUAAUGGGACUAUGUAAAAAGUGAUUUGGAGGUAAUUUGUUCUCCAAGGAAAAAACAGGCCAUGAACUAUAAACAGAGGUAAGAACCAAGAGGAUAAGAACAAGAAUAUAAGCUGUAUACUGAAAUGGUUAUGACCUUGGGAGUAGGGAGACAUUCCUUAUAAUCUCAAAAAUUCUCUGAAUUUCUAUGCUUAGGAAAUAUGUACCAGUCUGCUUACUGUGGCAUGAUUUGUAGUUAGCCAUAAGUUGGAAACACCUUAAAUGCCCAUUGGGAACAAAAUGGAAAAUACUUAUGAUGGAAUACUGUAUAUCUGUAAAAUUUCGCAAAUGAGAUCUAUAUUACAGAGAAAGAUCUCAAAAAUCAUGUUGAAGGGGGAAAAUGAAGUUGCAGAAUAACAUAUAUUACAAUGCAUUUUGUAAAUUUUAACUAAAACUUUACUCACAAAAUUCAGUACUAUGUAUUGGUAAUGGAUAAAUAUAUGUAUGUAUGUUUUUAAAAUGUUUUUGAAAUGGAUUGGAAGGAUACAGACCAAACUCUUGAUUUGAUAGUGGUUGCUUGUGAAGAGUGGAGCAAGGAAGGGGAUGAGUGUGGGAGGGAGGGAUGGGAUGGGGACUGUUUAAAGGGGGGGUUUCAUUUUUAUAUAUAAAUAUCCAUUUCUCUUAAAAACUAAAGACUGCAAGUAAAUAUAUCAAAAUACUGAAUAAUUCUGAUUGUGGUAUAUGGAUAUCUUGUCUUAUUUUUUGUACUUUUCUGUAUUUUUAAAUUUUCUCAAAAUUAAUAAGAAUGGGGGUGAGGAUGGGAACACUGUACCUAUAGAAAUCAUGUUCUAAUGGAUUCAUUCCCAAUCAAGUACUAAACUUUUUAUAGAAAAUAUUUCUAAAAUUUUAUCAAUGAUGAGUGGAUGGACUUGCUCUCUAUGUAAUAUGAAAUUAUCUAUUUUAUUAAAAUUAAAAAUGAUCACAUAA
This is an RNA transcript of Acinonyx jubatus (cheetah), 3466 nucleotides long. RefSeq lists it as uncharacterized. The transcript has 4 exons. Lineage: Eukaryota; Metazoa; Chordata; Mammalia; Carnivora; Felidae. The record is from RefSeq and is a predicted model, not a curated record.